AUGAACAAAGCUCGCAGCUUCCGAGGUAUGCUUGGCUCAAUAGAUUGCAUGCAUUGGAGUUGGAAGAAUUGUCCUAAGGUAUGGCAUGGGCAAUUCCACGGCCAAAAAAAGGGUUCCACUAUAAUCCUUGAAGCGGUGGCCGAUCAAGAGACUUGGAAUUGGCAUGUUUUUUUGGAAUGCCUGGAUCUUUGA
RNAcentral lists this ribosomal RNA (192 nucleotides) under Triticum aestivum (bread wheat). RNAcentral describes it as "partial small subunit ribosomal RNA". Lineage: Eukaryota; Viridiplantae; Streptophyta; Magnoliopsida; Poales; Poaceae. The record is from RNAcentral.